AGUGAACGCUGGCGGUAGGCCUAACACAUGCAAGUCGAACGGCAGCACAGUAAUAGCUUGCUCUUACGGGUGGCGAGUGGCGGACGGGUGAGGAAUACAUCGGAAUCUACUUUUUCGUGGGGGAUAACGUAGGGAAACGUACGCUAAUACCGCAUACGACCUACGGGUGAAAGCAGGGGAUCUUCGGACCUUGCGCGAUUGAAUGAGCCGAUGUCGGAUUAGCUAGUUGGCGGGGUAAAGGCCCACCAAGGCGACGAUCCGUAGCUGGUCUGAGAGGAUGAUCAGCCACACUGGAACUGAGACACGGUCCAGACUCCUACGGGAGGCAGCAGUGGGGAAUAUUGGACAAUGGGCGCAAGCCUGAUCCAGCCAUACCGCGUGGGUGAAGAAGGCCUUCGGGUUGUAAAGCCCUUUUGUUGGGAAAGAAAAGCAGCAGGUUAAUACCCCGCUGUUCUGACGGUACCCAAAGAAUAAGCACCGGCUAACUUCGUG
This 492-nucleotide ribosomal RNA is filed under the name uncultured bacterium. RNAcentral's name for it is "partial 16S ribosomal RNA". It matches the Rfam family "Bacterial small subunit ribosomal RNA", at positions 29 to 507 of the family's 1533-position model. The record is from RNAcentral.